Molecule: long non-coding RNA, 2397 nt
Organism: Oryctolagus cuniculus (rabbit)
Lineage: Eukaryota; Metazoa; Chordata; Mammalia; Lagomorpha; Leporidae
Source: Ensembl
GUCAGGACUGGGUCAAGCAGAAACCAAGGGCCAGGACACUCAAGCCUGGUUUCCCACAUGGGUAGUAGGGACCCAAGUACUUGGCCCAUCUUCUGCUGCCUUCCCAAGUGCAUUGGCAGGGAGCUGAAUCAGAAGCAGAGCAGCCAGAACUCAAAACCAGCCUUCUGAAAUGGGAUGCCAGCAUUGCAAUCAAUGGCUUAUCCCAUUGUGCCACAAUGCCGGCUCCUGUCAGCCACUUUCAGGCUCCCCAGGAGUUACAGGUCUGAAAGACAUCUGGGACCUUGAAAGGGUAAGUGGAAAGGGAAAGAGAUGGGUACAGGUAAGCAAUGGGAAAAUGCAGAAAAAGAAGAAGCUCUUUUUUCUUUUCUUUUUUUAAAUCUGACAGAGUUAUAGACGCCCAUAUGGGAUGCCAGCGCUGCAGGCGGAGGAUUAACCAAGUGAGCCACGGUGCCGGCCCCAAGAAGCUCUUUUUUCCACUAGCGUUUCUCAAGGAAAAUAUGUUUGAACUAUACCAGGCCAGCUCCCUCUAGAGUCUCACUGGUGGCCCCCCAGACUCACAUAGAUGAUGAACCUAAAGCCCAGAAAAAGGAGAGGAAAGUGGAUGCCACAGGCUGACCCAAAGCAGGAGGCUCAAGAAGGCAUCUUCCAAGUUGACCAUGUCCAGUCACACAUCAAUAAACUGACAACGUCCAAGACCAGAAUUUCUGACAGUAAUUGGUGGAUUCUGCUCCCAGUGUUGAUAAUUAAGGCCAUCUGCUUCCAAGUGUCAUCUCAGAGGGAAACGAAAUCCCCAUGGCAAGCUCAAAAACAGCAUCAGGUUUUUGGAGACAAUCCCACCAAGGUCAAGCUGCCAUCGUCCCUGCUGUCAUCCUCAUGCACACACUUGCGUGGCAUUGGAGAGGCUCCACCCAGCUCUCCUGGGCUUCAGCCCAUGUCAUACCCUGAAGCAGUCUGGGAAGCAGGAAACUGACAUGCAGUAAGGUCAAAGGUUUGUAUGGAACAAAUGGAGGGCUUGAGCUUUGACACCCUGAGCUUUCUUCCAUGGUGGAGCAUUGUGCUAUGAGCAGGGCUCUGCACUAAGACUCCCUGGAUGUGAAUGCUGGCCCUGCCAUCCACCACCCAGGUAACCUUGGGCCAGUUACUUACCUCUCUUGUCUUGGUUUAUUCAUCUGCAAAAUGGAAAUAGAACAGCUGAGUCAGAGUCAUUGUAAUUGCAGAGUAAGUGAACACACAUAAAGUGCACAAACCAACGUGGAAAGCACUNNNNNNNNNNNNNNNNNNNNNNNNNNNNNNNNNNNNNNNNNNNNNNNNNNNNNNNNNNNNNNNNNNNNNNNNNNNNNNNNNNNNNNNNNNNNNNNNNNNNAAUGAGGGCUUGAUGUUCAUGUGGGAGGCAGACAGUAAGGGGACAGGAGCCAAAGCUCAGGUCGAUCUCCCUGAUCGGAAUCUGGGGUGGGUGUUGUGGUUUCGGGAAGAAGACAGGCUGGUAUGCCCUGAUAGGGUGAGUUCUGCCUGGGGGUGCUUCAGCACCGGCUCUUCCUGCUCAGUGGAGCCACCACCCCUGCUCCUGGUUCCCGUCAUGCUCUGGACUGCUCGGCUCUGUGGUGGUGAAACAUUGGUUAUUUAAGGUCAAGCGCCGCUUGCUCCUCCAGGCAUACCCAGGUUCUGUUGGCUAGAGGCCCAUCACCUGUGUUAAGAUCUUUGCCAACAAUUAAACAUGGCUCAAGUGCUUAGCCACACCUCCUCUCCCAAGUGUUUCCAGUCCAUGAGGAUUGAAGCUGGAGCUGCUUCAGAUCCAGGUGAAACCACACAGAGAAGAAUCUUAUUCAAAAUCUCAGCCUGGGAAUCCUUCAACCGCAUACAGUAUGCUCCAGACAUUCCGACCCAGGCACACUCUCUGGAACCCAGAGCACCCUGAGCAGAGCUCCAGCCAAGCUGGGAGAGCCCCCUCCGCCUUUUACUGACAGAGCAGGCCUGGUGUGAGCUGGUUCUGUGGUCACAGCCUUAGUGAGAGCAUAACACGCUGCCUCUCCCAUGUCUCUCCCGACCCGUGUCUCCCAGGGAGUGUUCGGCAUGAAAACUAGGGGACGUCUCAGAAAAGUCACAUGAUCGGGGCCAGAUUUAACAACAAGGGAAGAAGAAGUCUCAGCGGUAAUUCUGGGUACCAGUUUUCUUACGCUCUCUUUAAAACGCCACCCAGGCUAGAGUAGUACUGGUUUGGCAUUCAAGUGUUUAAGAACGCUGGUGAAGGUCUCCUGUGGACUGUUCAUGGGAACAACACACAGAUGGAAAAGCGUCCAUUACUGCCGGCUCUUAUCUCUGGCAGAGCUUGGAAGCUCUCUGCCUCCCUGGUCUCGUCAUUAGUCACGGAAUAAAAGGCAACAAUGGAUUAUAUUUCCA